AGAUAACAGGUGGCUAGCAGAAGCAAAGCUCUUUGAGCAGAAAUGGAUAAAUAAAAGGGUCUUUUGAAUGGCAAGUUUCAGUUUGUUCUCUCC
Long non-coding RNA from Etheostoma cragini (Arkansas darter), 93 nucleotides. RefSeq lists it as uncharacterized. NCBI's taxonomy places the organism in Eukaryota, Metazoa, Chordata, Actinopteri, Perciformes, Percidae. The transcript has 3 exons. The record is from RefSeq and is a predicted model, not a curated record.